RNAcentral lists this ribosomal RNA (494 nucleotides) under Pisione sp. A KW450. Its description in RNAcentral is "partial 16S ribosomal RNA". It matches the Rfam family "Bacterial large subunit ribosomal RNA", at positions 1831 to 2609 of the family's 2925-position model. The record is from RNAcentral. Lineage: Eukaryota; Metazoa; Annelida; Polychaeta; Phyllodocida; Pisionidae.
UCUUUAGACUCUCUAUUAAAGGUAAUUCCUGCCCAGUGACUUUUAGUUCAACGGCCGCGGUAUCCUGACCGUGCAAAGGUAGCAUAAUCAUUUGCCUUUUAAUUGGAGGCUUGUAUGAAUGGAUAAACGAGGCUUUUUCUGUCUCUUUAAAUUUUCUAAAAACUAACUUUCAGGUGAAGAGGCCUGAAUUCUAUAAGUAGACAAGAAGACCCUAUUGAGUUUUACAAAGGUUUAAACCAUUUUAUAUCUUUGUUUGGUUGGGGCGACCGAGGAACAUUUUAAUCUUCCUUUCUCUCUAUAGAUUUUCCUAUCAUAAAAAUUGACCCUAUACUGAUCAACUGAACUAAUUACCAUAGGGAUAACAGGCUUAUUUUUUCUGAGAGUCCAUAUUAAAGAAAAAGUUUGGCACCUCGAUGUUGGCUUAGGGUAACCUUCAAAUGCAGAAGUUUGAUUGGGUUAGUUUGUUCAACUUUUAAUUCCCUACGUGAUCUGAG